GGUCUCGUAGUUCAACGGAUAGAACCGGAACGCCGGACCGUGCGUUUCCUAAACAUUUGAUAUAGGUUCGAUUCCUGUCGAGAACG
This 86-nucleotide transfer RNA is filed under the name Spirosoma profusum. It matches the Rfam family "tRNA". From Rfam's summary of the family: Transfer RNA (tRNA) molecules are approximately 80 nucleotides in length. Their secondary structure includes four short double-helical elements and three loops (D, anti-codon, and T loops). The record is from Rfam by way of RNAcentral. Lineage: Bacteria; Pseudomonadati; Bacteroidota; Cytophagia; Cytophagales; Cytophagaceae.